GCAGGACGUCGUCGUUUAACAGCAGAGAAAUAUUCUCCUUUUUUUGCAGCUUUUAACCACAUGGGCAGAAGAGGAAGCGGUUCUUCAAAAUUCUCUAUAAGGAUGUGUGAGCAUCAGGAGCUGGAAGCGACACCUUCAGGAUGAAUUUGAUAAGGCGUAGGAGCAAAAAGCCACUGUCUGCUUUGCAGCUCUGAAAAAAAGACUGUAUGGUUGGACUGUUAAGGGUAGCUGUACUUUGGGAGGCAUUUUUCUCCCAUUUCCACUUUUCAAUUGCCCCCAAUGUAUUCGCAAAAACCUUCUUUUAUAUGUUUAUGCAAAAAAAAAAAAAAAAAGGAAUUUUGAUAACAAAUGUUUAGCAACAGGAUAUAUGUGUGCUGGGCAGAAACAUCAUGAUAUAUGUGAAAACAAAACAGAGAAAAAAAA
This is a long non-coding RNA of Fundulus heteroclitus (mummichog), 423 nucleotides long. RefSeq lists it as uncharacterized. The transcript is spliced from 2 exons. The record is from RefSeq and is a predicted model, not a curated record. NCBI's taxonomy places the organism in Eukaryota, Metazoa, Chordata, Actinopteri, Cyprinodontiformes, Fundulidae.